RNAcentral lists this transfer RNA (84 nucleotides) under Peptoanaerobacter stomatis. RNAcentral's name for it is "Eubacteriaceae bacterium ACC19a tRNA". It matches the Rfam family "tRNA". From Rfam's summary of the family: Transfer RNA (tRNA) molecules are approximately 80 nucleotides in length. Their secondary structure includes four short double-helical elements and three loops (D, anti-codon, and T loops). Lineage: Bacteria; Bacillati; Bacillota; Clostridia; Peptostreptococcales; Filifactoraceae. The record is from Rfam by way of RNAcentral.
GCCGAAAUGGCGGAAUUGGCAGACGCACUGGACUCAAAAUCCAGCGGUAGCAAUAUCGUGCGGGUUCGACUCCCGCUUUCGGCA